Molecule: ribosomal RNA, 492 nt
Filed under: uncultured bacterium
Lineage: Bacteria
Description: partial 16S ribosomal RNA
Rfam family: Bacterial small subunit ribosomal RNA
Source: RNAcentral
AGUGAACGCUGGCGGUAGGCCUAACACAUGCAAGUCGAACGGCAGCACAGUAAGAGCUUGCUCUUACGGGUGGCGAGUGGCGGACGGGUGAGGAAUACAUCGGAAUCUACUUUUUCGUGGGGGAUAACGUAGGGAAACUUACGCUAAUACCGCAUACGACCUACGGGUGAAAGCAGGGGAUCUUCGGACCUUGCGCGAUUGAAUGAGCCGAUGUCGGAUUAGCUAGUUGGCGGGGUAAAGGCCCACCAAGGCGACGAUCCGUAGCUGGUCUGAGAGGAUGAUCAGCCACACUGGAACUGAGACACGGUCUAGAAUCCUACGGGAGGCCGCAGUGGGGAAUAUUGGACGAUGGGCGCAAGCCUGAUCCAGGCAUAGCGCGUGAGUGAGGGAGGCCUUCGGGGUGUAAAGCCAUUUUGUUGGGAAAGAAAAGCAGCAGGUUAAUAACCCGCUGUUCUGACGGUACCCAGAGAAUAAGCACCGGCUAACUUCGUG